GGAUAAUUUGCAGCAAGUUGGGGUGAGACAAUACACGCGAUCAACACACACAAAUUAUGAACUAUCUAGAUUUCUCCACGUCAAAACAUGGCCAGGAACUACAAGAUUGUGAGGGGACCAGCCAAUUUUGGAUUACAAGCCUUGGAUAUUCUAAUACCUUGGAGUGUUUGCGAUGUAGGAAAACAAAGUAUUUGCCGAUUGUUUACCGCUGUGGAUAAAGACACGAGGAGACAGAUCAUUCUAGUGCGCCUGCCUGCGCCUGCCUGCGCCUGCCUGCGCCUGCCUGCGCCUGCCUGCGCCUGCCUGCACCUGCCUGCACCUGCCUGCACCUGCCGUUUUCUUUGUAAGUUUUUCCCUGAGUUUAAGUCCUGUCUGUUUUUGCCCUGGACUCCGGAGGACUUUGUGUUUUGGAUGUUUGGACGUUUUUUCGCCUUGGGCUCUUGAACUGUGUAUUCCCUGUGGACUGUUUUUGGCUCCAAUGAACUACCCUUUUGUUCACCUCCAACCUGCAGUUUGGUCCUCCUUCCCUCUUUUGUGGGGGUUUAGAUCAAAUGUUGAUAAAAUGCAUGAACAACCCACAUGGCUUAAAGUUAGAAAUCGAUUUGUGUAUUCGCUAAUGUUUUUUUUUACAUAACAUUAUAACAAACAAAACACCUUUUACUUUAUACACAAAACUAUCCUUUAGUACUGCUAUACAUCAUUAUCCAACGAGGCAUGCAGUUGGAGGGAGUUUUAUUUGACCUAAAAUGAAAACUAAAUCAAUUCAACAUUCAGUUAGGUACAGAACAAUGUGUGAAUGGAACUCUCUCCCUACAACUAACAAACACAACUCUCAGUAUGGCUUUAAAAAAUCACUUAAGACAUUUAUUUCCAAGGAAUUAAAUAUUUAAUAUAAAAUUAGUUGGUACAGGGCUUUUAUUGUAUUUCUUAAAAUAGAUUAAUCUAUUCGGAGUAGUGUAUUUUGUUUAAUUUUUUCUAUUGUGUUAACUGUAAGAUUUAAUUAUGAUUUGUAUGUCUGUAAUGAAAUGUUAUGAGUAUUGUCAAGGAAAGAUUGUAGGACCCCAGGAAGAAUAGUUUUUAGUGGAUGCUGAAGCUAAUGGGGAUCCAAAUAAAUAAAAAAAUAAAAAAACAGCCUUUAGGUGCUCCUGUUGUGGGUCUGCUCCCUUGUCCCGACCCAGUGUUUUUGCUUCUCCUUUUUUUCCCUGUUUGUCUUUCUGUGUUUGCCGGUUCUCCCAUGGAGGGGGCAUGCCUAAGAGGACCUGGGUCAGGAGGCGUGGCCACUCAUCCCUGCUCUGUGAACUGCACAGCUGUGUCACAUUACAUCAUCCAUCACCUCUGCAUUUAAACCCGGGCUGACCACCUCUUCAGCAUCUCGUGUUCCGUCUCGACACCUGUGCUGUUCAUCAGAUUGUCCCUUUUUGGACCACCUCCUACAACGUCAACCUCCUCCUGUGGAAAGGACUGUUUGUUCCCAUGUGCUUGACUUUACUUUAGAAAAAAUACUCUUUAGCUGCUAAAUGCUCCACUAACGCUCUUUCUCACUCAACACAAACACUAAGACCCACUAACAUCUGGCCUUUGUCUGCUGUGGGAAAGGGUUCAAUCAGAAUUUAUCCAGAUUAAACACACACAUGCACAAAGACUGUGCUGAAUGUAGCUUACUGUGCCUAGGGCGGCAGCAGCAACAACUGUGUAUUGGGAUAGUUUAUGAGCUGAUUGACAGGCGAUAGCAGCGGUAACAGCCUGUGCAAAUGCAUUUUGAAAGGGGAACAGCCAAUUGGGAAACACAAUCAUGUCAUCACACAUAAACCGACCAAUGGUGAAACUUUAUCACUCAGUGACAGAGCAACAGCUUUUGGAGGUCUUACGGCUGGUCUCUGUAGUCCAGCCAUAAGUUUUGAUAGAGUCAGUGUUUCCUCUCAGGGAGAGUCUGUGGUCUCAAAUGUGCUGAGUACAUGGUGUAAGUGUGGCAACCGUGCAGGACAGUUGUUUCAGUCAUUGCACAAUACUCACUGAAUACUCGUCUGAACUAUGACAUUGAAAAUGUGGAUAAGCAAAUAUACAUAGACAGUUAAAGAAAUCGAUCGACAGACCCUGUUGCUCUGGACGGAGACUAGUGAAGUCUAUUAGAAGCUCUUUUCCGGUGACGCUGAGCGUUACUGCGCAGCCUCCAACUGAGCUUGACGAUGUAGAUGUGGAGUGAGCAAACUGUCUGAAAGUUGUAAGUAUUCUGGUAGCUGUGCAAGAGAAAUCUCAAUCAUUCCAAUCAGCAGAGAUGGAGAGCGUAGGUAUGUGUUAGGAGAUAGCAUGGGCACAGGCUUAUGCUAAUUACACUUCAGUAAUUCCUCUACUAUGCUACAGUAAGUCACAUGGCUAUGACACAAUUGCUAGCCUAUUUUUACAAAAACAUCUAAGGAGACAUAACGUGAGGUAAAAGGUAAUGGUGUUACGGUUAGUAAGACCCAGAACCACAGAGAUACAAAAAGGCACGCAGACAGGAUAAAGUUCAGGUGGUUUAACGAGUGCGGAGGGGUUCAAACACUGGUGUAGACAGGUGGCUGGUCGGUGUGAGGAAGGAAGGCAGCUUGGCGGGACAACUGAUGGAUCUAUGAGGAGAGGCAGAGUUAGUACUUGAAUGCAACAACACGAGUGCAAACAACUAGGAGCCAAGUUACCACAAUAGUGCAUGUAACGAUCUGGCGCUGAAGAGGCGGUCAGCCCGGGUUUAUGAAUGGCAGUGGGUGGUGUGGUGGUGGCAGUGAUGAGGAACAGCUGAGUGGAUAACGGAACGUAGAACGCCCUCACGGCAAAACAGACAGAACACACAGAAGAAAGGGGAGACACGACAUAGGCUGGGGAAUGCAGCAGACCACAACAAAUGGAGCCUUUUAUACAUUGUCGUGUUUCUUUGGAAAUUAACAAUGAACAAAUAAAGUCUAUGAACGCUUCAGAUAAAGGUAUUCACUGUCAAAGUGACGUCAAAAGUAAUGUCAGCGGGUGAUGCCUUGUUAGCAUCAAAAUGGCGCCAUAGGAGAUACACGUUGUGAAUGGAGGCUUACCCUUUUGCAAAGCUUUGUCUUGAUAGGGAGGCAUGUUUUGUACUGUACCCGAGCCGUAUGGUCAAGUCAUGUAAUUUUUAUUGCGACUGCGCCACUUGACUCACAGGUUUAUACAAAAUUGCACUUUAUUACACUUAUCGGGAACAAAAUGAGUUAACUUCAAAGAACAAAGCAUGAUGUAAAUGUGGUUUGAGAGAUGUACAAAGUAGUUUGGAAUAAUUGCGAAAAGUAUUUUUAUUUUUGUUGAGGAAAAUGCACAUGGCUUUGCGUGGACUUAUCUGUGAAAUAUUUUCGUGGUUUAAAAUGAAAAAAUACGGUAAAUUACUAACUUUUUCUGAGAAAAAUAUGCACGUGGCUCUGCUUGAUUGAGUGUAAAAAGAACUAGCUUUGAAGAAGGAUGAGAUGAGAUAUGUAGCUGAACAAUGAAUCAAAACUGUCAACAGAGAAAUCCCUGUGUUUUGGUAUUAAAGGAAUUGUUUGACCUUUUGGGAAAUACUCGUAUCCGUUUCCUUGCCGAAGAUCAGAUGAGAAGAUUGAUAUAACUUUAAUUAUUGCCCAAAAGCUAAAACUGGGAUCAAAGAAAUGUCACAACAUGUUAUUAAUAAUAUAAAAGAAGGAAUGGUGAAACUAUCUACUGUAACUAGUGCUGUAAUGGAUUUGCAGUAGUUGAUCAUUAACUCCAAGAUGAUUUGGUUCUGUGUCACAGCUGAGGUUGAGAGUGGUCAUUUG
Molecule: long non-coding RNA, 3788 nt
Organism: Etheostoma spectabile (orangethroat darter)
Lineage: Eukaryota; Metazoa; Chordata; Actinopteri; Perciformes; Percidae
Exons: 3
Source: RefSeq, a predicted model, not a curated record